Taeniopygia guttata (zebra finch) is the source of this 3662-nucleotide non-coding RNA. The record is from RefSeq and is a predicted model, not a curated record. Lineage: Eukaryota; Metazoa; Chordata; Aves; Passeriformes; Estrildidae.
CUGUCCUUCCGCGGCGGGGCGGCGGCAGCAUGAGCGGUGAGUGCUCGGCGUUAUCCCGGGUCGCGCUGCUUCCCGCAGCCGGGCCCGGUCCGGCUGGGACCCGUCCGGCCUUAGCACAGCACCGGAGACGCGCGGGGUCCCUUUGGAUUGCUGGCCUGUAGCCGCUUCUGAACAUGUUCUCUGCCAGGAAGUGGUCUGGCGUUUUCAGGGCUGUCAGACUGCAUCAUUUCAGAUCCCGUUCUAUAUCCAGAGCCUCUCCAAACCUGACUUUCGUGCCAGCCUGUCUUCCCCCAGAUCCUGCGGAAGUGGAGGAGCUGCAGCACUUUGUUUCUAACUCCAAGAGGCUGUUUGUAAUGACUGGAGCUGGAAUCUCCACAGAGUCAGGGAUCCCCGAUUACCGCUCCGAGGGCGUUGGGCUCUACGCCAGGACAGACAGACGGCCGAUCCAGCACGCUGAGUUCGUCCGCAGCGCCAGUGCCCGGCAGCGAUACUGGGCAAGGAACUUCGUGGGCUGGCCCCAGUUCUCCUCCCACCAGCCAAACAAGGCACACCUGGUACUGAGAGACUGGGAGAAGCUGGGCAAGCUGCACUGGCUGGUGACCCAGAACGUGGAUGCCCUUCACACCAAAGCUGGGAGCCAGCGCGUGACGGAGCUGCACGGCUGCAUACACAGGGUUUUCUGCUUGGCCUGUGGAGACCGAAUCUUGCGUUCUGAGCUCCAGGAGCACUUUGAAGCUCUGAAUCCUACUUGGAAAGCUGAAGCGUUUGGUGUGGCUCCGGAUGGGGAUGUCUUCCUGACGGACGAGCAGGUGCGCAAUUUCCAAGUCCCAGCCUGCCGUAAAUGUGGUGGAAUCCUGAAGCCGGAUGUGACCUUCUUUGGAGACACAGUAAGCCAGGAAAAAGUCCAUUUUGUACACCAGCGCCUGGCAGAAUCGGACUCCAUGCUGAUAGCAGGAUCCUCUAUGCAGGUGUACUCUGGUUACAGGUUUGCUCUUGCUGCUCGGGAAAAGAAGCUGCCAAUUGCAGUCCUUAACAUUGGGCCCACCAGGUUAGAUCAUUUUGCAUCCUUAAAGCUGAAUUCCCGCUGUGGAGAGCUGCUGCCUUUGAUUGUUUGCAAGUGACCCAACCAGCUGAGCUUCAGUAGCUAUCAGGAUUAAAGUUAUUUUUACAAGGACUGAUCUAAGAAAGGGGAAAACUCCAAUCCAAGAGGCAGCUGUGAGACGCAGUGCACAGCCGCUGAGGGCACCAGGAGAGGGCAGCAAGCCUCACACGUGUCAGCCUCACCAGUUCUCUCCACCGAAACCAUCUCCACGUAUCGGGAAACCGAAUGAGGAUGAAAAAAAAGUACUUUUCUGCCUUCCCUUGCCGUUUCAAACAGUGCCUUUUCAUUCAGUGGGACAGGAUAAUUGAACUACCAUGUCUGAGGAAAAAAUACCUUUCUUAUAAUUACCCUAGGAGAAGGAAGGUACAGGGAUUUUGACCAGGUAAUUUGAGGCUGUAGCACAGGAGGGCGAUGUGGGACUGCUGGGGGAUCCAGUGUCACUGGUGGGAUACUGUAGAGUGUGCAAAGAGGAAAAAGAGGCAAGAGGAACUGCAGUGGUCACUUUCAAAAAAAGAAGGUUCAAAACAGAAGCUGAACAAGAGCACUGCUUUGUAACAGAUUAUUUGGAAGCACAAGCUAUAAGGCUGACAUCUUCCAGCAAGGAGGGGAAGUCAGCAUUUCUUUCAACUGUUGUUUGACAGGGUAAAAUGCUUCUAUCCAACCCCUUUAAAAAUGAAAUAUUGUUGAAAUCCCAGAGGAGUUACUUGAAGCUAAUCUGACCAGCACUACUUUCAGUGAGGCCACUACAUUUUCCAGAAUGCAUUUUUUAAGGCAUUAUUUAAUUAAUUAAUAGCUGCAAUUAAAAUUGUUUAGAGGAUUGAGACUAUUUGCAUUGUAAUUUUCUCUCCCUUCCAUGAUUUAAGUACAUUCUCAAUAGCCAGUUUAGAUUCUUCGGUUUUCCAUUGCAAAAAUGCAGGUUGUAAUUACUAGCAGCUGAUGAAUUAAGAGAGAAAUACAAUUAAAUCUGUACAAUAGGUCUCCCUCAGGAGAUAAUCUCUGUUGAAAGGUGCAAUUUCCACACUCCUAACAGGAAAUCCAUCACUACUGGGUAGUGAUUUUUUGUUGAUCCUUAGGACGGUAUUGUAAGCUCUAUCAAACUGAGUAAAAUACAGAACCUGGCACAAACUAGAACACUAACUUUUUGACCUGACCUUCUUCAUGAAACUACCACUUCCCCUCUUCUAGCUCUGAAGGAUUUAAUUGUUGGGGUUUUCCAAGUGCCCCCUCCUACUCCAAGUAACAUGUCCUGGACUAAUAUUUUGACACGAACUGUAACAAGCAGUUGGAAACAAGGAUGCCAGAGUCAUCUGCUAAAAGGUCAAGUAGCAAAGCAAGGACAACUGACCACAGGAUGCAAAGUUAAUUUUUGCUUUGUUGUCUAUUCAAAUCCAUGCCAGGAGAGAGCAAAUAAAGCACAGAAUCUAAGGCAUACAUAAGGCAUCCAAUUUCUGCAGAAGGUAGAGGGCAUUAAGAUGCAUAAGACAUUUCAAGAUUUGGCUGUAUUGUGUUAGAGGAGACAGCUUCACUUUGAAGCCGAGCAAGAACAGUUCAGGACUCCCACCUGCAUUCUGCUCUCGUUGAAUGGUGACUCCACUUUCCAAUGACUCAGGUUUCUGCUGCUUGGCAGUGAGCAGAGCUCACAGAUCUCUCUCCAUCUUAAGCUGUUGUGUCUGCAGUACAGCUGUCCCACCAACCAAAGCUAUUGCAGAAAUCAUGCCUAAAGCACAGCAGAAUCUCCACAUACACCAUGUUUUCAUGCAGGGGCUUUUCCUGUAAGAAAAGAUGCUGGUGCCUCCUUAGCAGAGGAGCUGGGGCUGAGGUUCUCACUAUCCACAUCAUCUUCUCCUCCUCCUUGAAACUUACACGACAUUGGUGUGCCGAACCAGAGGCUGCAGGUUCAGUGCCAGUAGAGCCAGCAUUUUGAGAAGGUGGGAGCAUUGCCAAGCAGUCUAAAGUCUUGGAACAAGUUCUGUGACAGGUAACUAAACCUCCCACAUCUACCCCUGCCUCCUCCAGUUCUGCAGCUGAGCCUGUGGGAGAGGAGUCAGGAUGUCUCUUCAGGAUCAGUCUCAGAUGAGUCAUUACUCCAAUUCCCCAUUGAUUGGUACUUUUAAGUCACCAGGACAAUGAUUUAGAAUAAAUGAACAUAACAGUAAAUUUCCUGUGCCUGGUUUAUUACUAUAUGGUAAUGAGCAUAUCUACAACAACGAUGAGACUGAGAUGAAGUUCCUUCUUUUUUCUGCUAAGCUGGUCCAGCACUACUAAAAUUGACCUCUUUUAGAACAGGAUCAGAGCACUUCUUAACAUAUUCACCUUAACUUAAACAUUAAAUUUACUUACAUGAGAAAUGCCUGAGAGAGCCUAAAAUUCCUACGCCAAAAGCCACGACAUGAAAUUAGCUGAAUCAACAGCUUUUGCUCUUUUCUUUUUCUUACAACUGUUCCUCCUGAAGCUUGGAUAGAGCAGCUGAGAGUAUCUUGCAAUGGAUUUUUCUUCUGCUCCUCUUAAAGUGGGGUUGGAGUUAUGCAAAGCAAAUAAAAGUUACUUCCUAUUUGGCAAA